RNAcentral lists this ribosomal RNA (366 nucleotides) under uncultured bacterium. Its description in RNAcentral is "bacterial SSU rRNA". It matches the Rfam family "Bacterial small subunit ribosomal RNA", at positions 527 to 896 of the family's 1533-position model. The record is from RNAcentral.
GUAGGUGGCAAGCGUUGUCCGGAUUUACUGGGCGUAAAGGAUGCGUAGGCGGACAUUUAAGUCAGAUGUGAAAUACCCGAGCUUAACUUGGGUGCUGCAUUUGAAACUGGGUGUCUAGAGUGCAGGAGAGGUAAGUGGAAUUCCUAGUGUAGCGGUGAAAUGCGUAGAGAUUAGGAAGAACACCAGUGGCGAAGGCGACUUACUGGACUGUAACUGACGCUGAGGCAUGAAAGCGUGGGGAGCAAACAGGAUUAAAUACCCUGUAGUCCACGCCGUAAACGAUGAAUACUAGGUGUCGGGGGUCGAACCUCGGUGCCGCAGUUAACACAAUAAGUAUUCCGCCUGGGGAGUACGAUCGCAAGAUUA